RNAcentral lists this ribosomal RNA (532 nucleotides) under uncultured bacterium. Its description in RNAcentral is "partial 16S ribosomal RNA". It matches the Rfam family "Bacterial small subunit ribosomal RNA", at positions 355 to 874 of the family's 1533-position model. The record is from RNAcentral.
UGGGGAAUAUUGCACAAUGGGCGCAAGCCUGAUGCAGCCAUGCCGCGUGUGUGAAGAAGGCCUUCGGGUUGUAAAGCACUUUCAGCGAGGAGGAAGGUGGUGAACUUAAUACGUUCAUCAAUUGACGUUACUCGCAGAAGAAGCACCGGCUAACUCCGUGCCAGCAGCCGCGGUAAUACGGAGGGUGCAAGCGUUAAUCGGAAUUACUGGGCGUAAAGCGCACGCAGGCGGUUUGUUAAGUCAGAUGUGAAAUCCCCGGGCUCAACCUGGGAACUGCAUUUGAAACUGGCAAGCUAGAGUCUCGUAGAGGGGGGUAGAAUUCCAGGUGUAGCGGUGAAAUGCGUAGAGAUCUGGAGGAAUACCGGUGGCGAAGGCGGCCCCCUGGACGAAGACUGACGCUCAGGUGCGAAAAGCGUGGGGAGCAAACAGGAUUAGAUACCCCUGGUAGGUCCACGCUGUAAACGAUGUCGAUUUUGGAGGUUGUGCCCCUUGAGGCGUGGCUUCCGGAGCUAACGCGUUAAAUCGACCGCCU